AGUGAACGCUGGCGGUAGGCCUAACACAUGCAAGUCGAACGGCAGCACAGGAGAGCUUGCUCUCUGGGUGGCGAGUGGCGGACGGGUGAGGAAUACAUCGGAAUCUACUUUUUCGUGGGGGAUAACGUAGGGAAACUUACGCUAAUACCGCAUACGACCUACGGGUGAAAGCAGGGGACCUUCGGGCCUUGCGCGAUUGAAUGAGCCGAUGUCGGAUUAGCUAGUUGGCGGGGUAAAGGCCCACCAAGGCGACGAUCCGUAGCUGGUCUGAGAGGAUGAACAGCACCACUGGAACUGAGACACGGUCCAGACUCCUACGGGAGGCAGCAGUGGGGAAUAUCGGACAAUGGGCGCAAGCCUGAUCCAGCCAUACCGCGUGGGUGAAGAAGGCCUUCGGGUUGUAAAGCCCUUUUGUUGGGAAAGAAAUCCAGCUGGCUAAUACCCGGUUGGGAUGACGGUACCCAAAGAAUAAGCACCGGCUAACUUCGUGCCAGCCGCCGCCGUAA
RNAcentral lists this ribosomal RNA (506 nucleotides) under uncultured bacterium. RNAcentral describes it as "partial 16S ribosomal RNA". It matches the Rfam family "Bacterial small subunit ribosomal RNA", at positions 29 to 523 of the family's 1533-position model. The record is from RNAcentral.